Molecule: non-coding RNA, 214 nt
Filed under: Pontibacillus litoralis
Lineage: Bacteria; Bacillati; Bacillota; Bacilli; Caryophanales; Bacillaceae
Description: T-box sequence
Rfam family: T-box leader
About the family: Uncharged tRNA acts as the effector for transcription antitermination of genes in the T-box leader family. T-boxes are found upstream of many aminoacyl-tRNA synthetase genes and some amino acid biosynthetic genes usually in Gram-positive bacteria.
Source: RNAcentral
AAAAAAGUAUUGAUGAAGACAGAUUCAAAGAAUUGUUUUUCAGAGAGUCGAUGGUUGCUGUGAAUCGACAAACAAGCUUGAAUUGAGCACUUCUGAACUGGUAUCUGAAUGGUUAGUAGGAAUACCCGGUGCCACGCCGUUAUCGUUUGAAGGUUAUUUAUUUUUUAGUAGAUAACAAAUAUAGGGUGGUACCGCGUAUUUAAGCGCCCCUUGC